RNAcentral lists this ribosomal RNA (893 nucleotides) under Bacillus pumilus. RNAcentral's name for it is "bacterial SSU rRNA". It matches the Rfam family "Bacterial small subunit ribosomal RNA", at positions 469 to 1429 of the family's 1533-position model. The record is from RNAcentral. Lineage: Bacteria; Bacillati; Bacillota; Bacilli; Caryophanales; Bacillaceae.
AUGACGACCUACCGAAGCAAGCUACUCGGCCGCGCGCGUAUAGUAGUGCAGCGUGUCCGAUUUUGGCGUAAGGCCGCGGCGUUUUUAGUUGAUGUGAAGCCCCGCUCACCGGGAGGUCAUUGAACUGGAACUGAGUCAGAGGGAGAGGGAAUCCACGUUAGCGUGAAUGCUAGAAUGGGAGAACCCAGGGCGAAGGCGACUCUCUGGUCUGUAACUGACGCUGAGGAGGAAAGCGGGGGAGCGAACAGGAUUAGAUACCCUGGUAGUUCACGCCGUAAACGAUGAGUGCUAAGUUUAGGGGGUUUCCGCCCCUUAGUGCUGCAGCUAACGCAUUAAGCACUCCGCCUGGGGAGUACGGUCGCAAGACUGAAACUCAAAGGAAUUGACGGGGGCCCGCACAAGCGGUGGAGCAUGUGGUUUUUUCGAAGCAACGCGAAGAACCUUACCAGGUCUUGAAUCCUUUGCAACCCUAGAGUAGGGCUUUCCCUUCGGGGACAGAGUGACAGGUGGUGCAUGGUGUUGUCAGCUCGUGUCGUGAGAUGUUGGGUAAGUCCCGCAACGAGCGCAACCCUUGAUUUUAGUUGCCAGCAUUUAGUUGGGCACUUUAAGGUGACUGCCGGUGACAAACCGGAGGAAGGUGGGGAUGACGUCAAAUCAUCAUGCCCCUUAUGACCUGGGCUACACACGUGCUACAAUGGACAGAACAAAGGGCUGGGAGACCGCAAGGUUUAGCCAAUCCCAUAAAUUUGUUUUCAGUUUGGAUCGCAGUUUGCAACUUGACUGCGUGAAGCUGGAAUCGCUAGUAAUUGCGGAUCAGCAUGCCGCGGUGAAUACGUUCCCGGGCCUUGUACACACCGCCCGUCACACCAAGAGAGUUGCAACACCCGAAGUUG